This 479-nucleotide ribosomal RNA is filed under the name Vibrio sp. LMG 4426. RNAcentral's name for it is "bacterial SSU rRNA". It matches the Rfam family "Bacterial small subunit ribosomal RNA", at positions 40 to 492 of the family's 1533-position model. The record is from RNAcentral. Lineage: Bacteria; Pseudomonadati; Pseudomonadota; Gammaproteobacteria; Vibrionales; Vibrionaceae.
CGGCAGGCCUAACACAUGCAAGUCGAGCGGUAACAGGAAGGAAGCUUGCUUUCUUUGCUGACGAGCGGCGGACGGGUGAGUAAUGCCUGGGAAAUUGCCCUGAUGUGGGGGAUAACCAUUGGAAACGAUGGCUAAUACCGCAUGAUGCCCUUGUUUAUAAUGAACAGGGACCAAAGAGGGGGACCUUCGGGCCUCUCGCGUCAGGAUAUGCCCAGGUGGGAUUAGCUAGUUGGUGAGGUAAUGGCUCACCAAGGCGACGAUCCCUAGCUGGUCUGAGAGGAUGAUCAGCCACACUGGAACUGAGACACGGUCCAGACUCCUACGGGAGGCAGCAGUGGGGAAUAUUGCACAAUGGGCGCAAGCCUGAUGCAGCCAUGCCGCGUGUAUGAAGAAGGCCUUCGGGUUGUAAAGUACUUUCAGUCGUGAGGAAGGGGGUAUCGUUAAUAGCGGUAUUCUUUGACGUUARCGACAGAARAGCA